RNAcentral lists this ribosomal RNA (383 nucleotides) under uncultured eukaryote. RNAcentral describes it as "partial 18S ribosomal RNA". It matches the Rfam family "Eukaryotic small subunit ribosomal RNA", at positions 592 to 976 of the family's 1831-position model. The record is from RNAcentral.
CAAUAGCGUAUAUUAAAGUUGUUGCAGUUAAAAUGCUCGUAGUUGGAUUUCUGGUGGGAGCGAUCGGUCUGGCGCUUAGCGCGAGUACUUGCAUCGUCUCCGGCCAUCCUUGGGGAGAGUCUGUCUGGCAUUAGGUUGUCGGGCAGAGGAUCCUCAUCGUUUACUGUGAAAAAAUUAGAGUGUUCAAAGCAGGCUUAUGCCGUUGAAUAUAUUAGCAUGGAAUAAUAAGAUAGGACUUUGGUACUACUUUGUUGGUUUGCGCACCAGAGUAAUGAUUAAUAGGGACAGUUGGGGGUAUUCGUAUUCCGUUGUCAGAGGUGAAAUUCUUGGAUUUACGGAAGACGAACUACUGCGAAAGCAUUUACCAAGGAUGUUUUCAUUAA